GAUGAACGCUAGCUACAGGCUUAACACAUGCAAGUCGCAGGGUAACAUGAGGAAAGCUUGCUUUCCUUGAUGACGACUGGCGCACGGGUGAGUAACGCGUAUCCAACCUUCCCAUAACUACGGGAUAACCCGUUGAAAGACGGCCUAAUACCGUAUGAUAUCGUUUGCUGACAUCAAAUAACGAUUAAAGGUUUAGCGGUUAUGGAUGGGGAUGCGUCUGAUUAGCUUGUUGGCGGGGUAACGGCCCACCAAGGCGACGAUCAGUAGGGGUUCUGAGAGGAAGGUCCCCCACAUUGGAACUGAGACACGGUCCAAACUCCUACGGGAGGAAGCAGUGAGGAAGAUUGGUCAAUGGGCGAGAGCCUGAACCAGCCAAGUAGCGUGCAGGACGACGGCCCUAUGGGUUGUAAACUGCUUUUAUGUGGGGAUAAAGUGCGUGACGUGUCAUGCAUUGCAGGUACCACAUGAAUAAGGACCGGCUAAUUCCGUG
This 490-nucleotide ribosomal RNA is filed under the name uncultured bacterium. RNAcentral's name for it is "partial 16S ribosomal RNA". It matches the Rfam family "Bacterial small subunit ribosomal RNA", at positions 28 to 507 of the family's 1533-position model. The record is from RNAcentral.